AUACAAAUCACUUAUGCUCAAACUGAGAACUGUGUUACUCAGCAGGCAGUUACUGUGCUCAAUCAUUGUCAUAUCAGAAAUCAUGUGGGUAAGAGAACUGAUUUCUUCUAGGUUCCCCCACCUUUUCUGGCACAGAGGGGAGAUAAUGGGAGCAGUUGGGGUGUAUGUCCACUAGCUGCUGUCAGAUCCUACCUUCUUCUCCAGGCAGCCAGCUUUCUUGGAAGGCAUUGGUUCUGAGACAGCUGCAAGAUAUCAAAGAUGAUUGUUUGCCAUCUGUGAGGAGAACAUUCCCUUUACAGUGAUGACACACUUUGAUUUCCUGGUGUAUGCAGUAUGCACUGUGGUG
RNAcentral lists this long non-coding RNA (346 nucleotides) under Gallus gallus (chicken). RNAcentral describes it as "long non-coding RNA NONGGAT002518". Lineage: Eukaryota; Metazoa; Chordata; Aves; Galliformes; Phasianidae. The record is from RNAcentral.